RNAcentral lists this transfer RNA (73 nucleotides) under Dipodomys ordii (Ord's kangaroo rat). It matches the Rfam family "tRNA". From Rfam's summary of the family: Transfer RNA (tRNA) molecules are approximately 80 nucleotides in length. Lineage: Eukaryota; Metazoa; Chordata; Mammalia; Rodentia; Heteromyidae. The record is from Rfam by way of RNAcentral.
GGGAGGGUGGCUCAGUGGUAGAGUGCUUGCCUUGCAUGCAUGAGGCCCUGGGUUCAAUUCCUCAGCACCACCU